RNAcentral lists this ribosomal RNA (590 nucleotides) under Meyerozyma sp. RNAcentral describes it as "partial large subunit ribosomal RNA". It matches the Rfam family "Eukaryotic large subunit ribosomal RNA", at positions 65 to 664 of the family's 3401-position model. Lineage: Eukaryota; Fungi; Ascomycota; Pichiomycetes; Serinales; Debaryomycetaceae. The record is from RNAcentral.
CCAACGGGCAUUGCCUUAGUAGCGAGCGAGUGAGCGGCAAAGCUCAAAUUUGAAAUCUGGCGCCUUCGGUGUCCGAGUUGUAAUUUGAAGAUUGUAACCUUGGGGUUGGCUCUUGUCUAUGUUUCUUGGAACAGGACGUCACAGAGGGUGAGAAUCCCGUGCGAUGAGAUGCCCAAUUCUAUGUAAGGUGCUUUCGAAGAGUCGAGUUGUUUGGGAAUGCAGCUCUAAGUGGGUGGUAAAUUCCAUCUAAAGCUAAAUAUUGGCGAGAGACCGAUAGCGAACAAGUACAGUGAUGGAAAGAUGAAAAGAACUUUGAAAAGAGAGUGAAAAAGUACGUGAAAUUGUUGAAAGGGAAGGGUUUGAGAUCAGACUCGAUAUUUUGUGAGCCUUGCCUUCGUGGCGGGGUGACCCGCAGCUUAUCGGGCCAGCAUCGGUUUGGGCGGUAGGAUAAUGGCGUAGGAAUGUGACUUUACUUCGGUGAAGUGUUAUAGCCUGCGUUGAUGCUGCCUGCCUAGACCGAGGACUGCGAUUUUAUCAAGGAUGCUGGCAUAAUGAUCCCAAACCGCCCGUCUUGAAACAACGGGAACCAA